UGAGUAACACGUGAGUGACCUGCCUUUUAGACUGGAACAACUUACCGAAAGGUGAGCUAAUGCCGGAUGAGUUAUAUAAGUGCAUGUUUAUAUAGGAAAAGUUGGGGAGACCUGACGCUGAAAGAUGGACUCGCGUCCCAUUAGCUAGUUGGUAGGGUAAUGGCCUACCAAGGCGACGAUGGGUAGCCGGCCUGAGAGGUUGGCCGGCCACAUUGGGACUGAGACACGGCCCAGACUCCUACGGAAGGCAGCAG
This 254-nucleotide ribosomal RNA is filed under the name uncultured bacterium. Its description in RNAcentral is "partial 16S ribosomal RNA". It matches the Rfam family "Bacterial small subunit ribosomal RNA", at positions 107 to 354 of the family's 1533-position model. The record is from RNAcentral.